RNAcentral lists this unclassified non-coding RNA (303 nucleotides) under fungal sp. RNAcentral's name for it is "partial internal transcribed spacer region". The stretch from base 1 to 46 matches the Rfam family "Eukaryotic small subunit ribosomal RNA", at positions 1786 to 1831 of the family's 1831-position model. The record is from RNAcentral. Lineage: Eukaryota; Fungi.
AAGUCGUAACAAGGUUUCCGUAGGUGAACCUGCGGAAGGAUCAUUAGGAAUAAAAAAAUCUUUUGGAUUUUUAAUUUUUUUUUUACAAUCUUUUUCACUCUUUGUCUAUAUAUUGUGUAUGUAUGGAGAACGGCUUGCUAUUCUGUUGUAUGUAUGUAUAUAUAUAAGCAAGGUUGUGGAGAGACUUAACAAUUAAUGAAAAGUGUUUGUGUAUUUCACUACAUAUUCCAUUUUUCAUAAUCCGAAUUUUUGGCUAUUUAUUUAUAAAACUAAAAACUUUCAACAACGGAUCUCUUGGUUCUC